UUAAAAGAUAACGCAGGUGUCC
Molecule: non-coding RNA, 22 nt
Filed under: Arabidopsis thaliana (thale cress)
Lineage: Eukaryota; Viridiplantae; Streptophyta; Magnoliopsida; Brassicales; Brassicaceae
Source: RNAcentral